This is a non-coding RNA of Oryza sativa Japonica Group (Japanese rice), 2996 nucleotides long. NCBI's taxonomy places the organism in Eukaryota, Viridiplantae, Streptophyta, Magnoliopsida, Poales, Poaceae. The record is from RefSeq and is a predicted model, not a curated record.
GUAAAUAAGUCCUCUAUUUAUUUUAAGGAUUGCAAUGAUUCAUAUUUGUCACCGUGGGUACCAGCGCUGUGUCCUGGGACUGGUACUGAGAUCGCGGUUUCGUAGGAAGCGGUUUGCGCCGUUUUCCCUAUGACAUGCUCCUGUCAGGUGCCGUUGUACGGCGGUACCAGAUUGGGGUGUGACACAUUGAUGGCUGAAAAAUUUGUCAUAUCAUCUAGUGGGCUAUGGUAUGUAGUUGUAGCUUUUUGCUCCUUGGGCAGGCCAAAAUUUGCAUGCACAGACAGCUUGUUGUCCUCUCUGUUGGAAAUUUGUUCAUAAUUCGGUAUAUUUUAAUCCAAAAUAUUAAGACAAUAAACAUGACAUUUAUAAUUUGAGUAGAUCUAGUGACAGUGCUAGAUGUGUACAACAUGAGCGUACUUAAUAUAAAAUAAGCACCAACAUAGAUAAGGCAACGCCCAAUAACAUUGCGACUGACAGUAGUAGAAAAUUAAGAACGAACGGUAAUAGUAAAUUAUUAUACCCCGAGAAUGGCCCUCCGCUGGAGUUUGAGGUAGUAUUGCCUCCGUUGGUGUUGAUGGGUGCCUCCUUCUCCUUGUCUCCAGUGUUAUUGUUGUCGCUGAUAUUCGACAUAUUGGCGAAGACGAUGCAGAGGAAGACGAACAAAAGCAGUCACGCAUAGCGCUCCCUAAAAACUUGAUCGCCCACCUACCCGUGCAGGUUCUCAAGCAGACGGAGUUCCGGAGGCACCUGCUUGUUCCGAUCACCCGUGCGUGCGGGAUGAACAGAACCGGGGAAAUGGAGAGACAACGCAGGAACAUAAGGAGAGUAUCGCCUAGGAACAGCAGCAGGAGGAAGACUCGAUCUUUGAGAGCCUCUGCCUUGCAUUAUAUAUAGAGAGAGAUCUCCAUUACCACACAAAUAAAUCUCAUUUGUUGUGAAGAUUACCACAAAAUAAAUCUCAUUUGUUGCGAAGAUUACCACACAAUGAAUCUCUCAUUUGUUGUGGAGGUUACAACAAAUAAAUCUCUCAUUUGUUGUGGAUGUUACAACACAAUGAAUCUCUCAUUUGUUGUGGAGGUUACAACAAAUAAAUCUCUCAUUUGCUUUGGAGGUUACAACACAAUGAAUUUGAUUUGUUAAUAGUGACUUUAUUCUCGUCUGUUACAAAAUGAAAGAGCAACAAGCAGGCUCGGCUCGGCCGGCCGUCUCGCCUCGCCACGCCCACAGCCGAGGCCAACUUGGCACGCGCGCGUGUGUGGAAGUCCAACCAUCACCUCAACCGGUCAAUAGGGAAUCUCCAAUAUCACCCUAUUUAAGUUGAGGUUCUUCCACCUAAAUUUUCAAGGCAGUAUUAUUGUCUCUAACAUUACUUGUGGGCUCUUGAGAUUUUAAUUGAAUUAAAUUGGGCCUACCCCAUUUAUUCCAAGACUCUCACCAUUCAUCUUGAACAUCUAGAACCCUAAUCGUUGUGCGCAAGCAAGAGUCUAGCACAAUUGCAACAACUUCAUCUAGUCUUGGAGGUUGGGAAACAAAUCCUCUAUUGUAGAGCUAAUACUGCACAGGUGCUGUAGCGAUCAAAUCAAGCCAUCCGAUUAGAUUAAGCGGCUCUGAUUCUGUCCUUAAACACCGAAAAUAUUUUUGAUAAUUUGGAAACUAACAAACUGAUUUUAAGGAGGAAAAGUCAAGAUAACCUUGAUGGAGGGAAAAUCACGAAUCCUCCAGAGUACUUGGCGCCAAAAUAAUACAGGUUCUCCUUUUGCUUUCUUCCUCCUUGGGACUUGGUGCCAAAAGGAGAUACAGAGGUUUCACUUUGCCUUGUUCUGUCCAGAAACUUUGAUGAUCAAAUAAAGUAAGCCAUCAGUCUCCAACGAACAGGUAUGUAUGCCAUGUCUUGUACCCUUUUUGUGAUCAUGUCCUCACAAAAAAAACCAAAAGCAUUGUUGUGGGAUUCUUAUGAUUGGAGUGGAUACACUCUACACUCGUGUAGUGCUAAACAGAGUAUACAUACAAAUCUGAGGCCUUAUGGCGAACGACUCAAACUCCAACCAUCAUAAUUCAAAUAGCACAAAUAUGAUUCCUAGUUGGAUUCCUCAAUUUGGCGUGAAAUUUAAAUCUACAAAAGAGGCAUGGGAAUUUUGGACUUAUUAUGGAGGUCAUACUGGUUUUGAUGUUAGGAUAAAUUAUGAAAAUAAGAGUAAAGUUGAUGGAGUAAUUACUUCUGCAAGAUAUGUUUGUUCCAAUGAGGGAUACCGGGCAAUAGACAAAAGAGAUCACAACACCAAGCGUCCUCGUGCUGAAACAAGAACAGGUUGCAAAGCUCGGAUCGGAAUCACAGUAGAUAGAGAAGUGGGCGAUUAUUCAGUAUAUGAUUUAGUUCUUGAACAUAACCAUGAACUUUAAUUGCCUUCAACAUGCCAUUUGAUGCCAUCACAAAGAAAGAUAUCGUCAUUGCAAGCAUUUGAAAUUGAAACAAUGGAUGAUUCGGGCAUUGGACCAAAAGCUGCACAUGAGCUUGCUAGUCGGCAAGUUGGUGGUUCAGUAAACCUUGGUUAUACACGUCGUGGUCUCAAGAACCAUUUACAAACCAAGCGUCAAAGGGAGUUGAUGUAUGGCGAAGCCGGAAGUAUGUUGAAGUACUUUCAGGACAAAGUUGCAGAGAACACUUCAUUUCAUUAUGCCCUUCAGUUGGAUUGUGAAGAACAAAUAACAAAUAUUUUUUGGGCUGAUGCUAAGAUGAUAAUCGACUAUGCUCAGUUUGGAGAUGUUGUUACUUUUGACACAACAUUUGGGACAAACAAAGAAUACAGGUCCUUUGGUGUCUUUGUUGGAUUCAACCAUUUUAGAGAGAGUCAUUUUUGGAGCCGCUCUUUUGUAUGAUGAAACAUAGGGUGAUGGCAUGGAGCAUAACAUAUUUGAUACUACCUGGAAUUUUGGGUUCAAUGCAAAUUUGGAUGGGAGAUAGCUAGAUGCCUAGGUAUCAAAUUGAGAUUAACAAA